RNAcentral lists this ribosomal RNA (235 nucleotides) under uncultured Oscillospiraceae bacterium. RNAcentral's name for it is "partial 16S ribosomal RNA". It matches the Rfam family "Bacterial small subunit ribosomal RNA", at positions 104 to 339 of the family's 1533-position model. The record is from RNAcentral. Lineage: Bacteria; Bacillati; Bacillota; Clostridia; Eubacteriales; Oscillospiraceae.
GGGUGAGUAACGCGUGAGUAACCUGCCAUACAGUGGGGAAUAACACACCGAAAGGUGUGCUAAUACCGCAUGAUGUAUCGAGAUCGCAUGGUCUUGAUACCAAAGAUUUAUCGCUGUAUGAUGGGCUCGCGUCUGAUUAGAUAGUUGGUGAGGUAACGGCUCACCAAGUCGACGAUCAGUAGCCGGACUGAGAGGUUGAACGGCCACAUUGGGACUGAGACACGGCCCAGACUCC